GGAUUGGUGGUUGAGCGGUUGAAGACACCGGUCUUGAAAACCGGCAAUGGGGAAACUCCUUCGUGGGUUCGAAUCCCACCCCAUCCGCCA
RNAcentral lists this transfer RNA (90 nucleotides) under Alphaproteobacteria bacterium. RNAcentral's name for it is "tRNA-Ser". It matches the Rfam family "tRNA". Rfam says of the family: Transfer RNA (tRNA) molecules are approximately 80 nucleotides in length. Their secondary structure includes four short double-helical elements and three loops (D, anti-codon, and T loops). The record is from RNAcentral. Lineage: Bacteria; Pseudomonadati; Pseudomonadota; Alphaproteobacteria.